CGAAAGAAUUUUCGAAAUAGUUGUUGCAAGAUUUUAUCUUUUUAGAUUUCUGUUGAAUAACUUUUAUGGAAAUUUCGUGAUUUUUUUUUCUUUUUUUUUCUUUCGAUUGUUAAGUAGAAUAUCAUGCAAAAUUGUUUUUGAGAUUUAGAAUUGGACGUGUAAUGAAUCGUAUUUGGAGUUAUUGUUGCGUUCAAUUAUAAUGAAUUCACGAAAAAGGAUUUUUGAAAAUAUUGCAAGAUUUCAUGUUUUUGUAUUAUUGCUGAAUACUAUAAAUUUUUCAUCGAAGCUGGACGAAUCGUUUUCAAGAUUAAAAAUAAAAAAUCGAAUCGAAGAAAAAUUUCCUCUUUCAUCCUCAUCUUUUAUUUAAUUUUUAUCGUUGGGACAGUUUUGGAAUUGUUGACUAACUAUGUCACGUUUUUGAAGAUCGUGGGAAGAUUUAAGAAGAUCUUUGGCACGAGAAUGUUGGCUAGACUCUUCGAUGGGUUCAAGUAGGACGUGAGAAUGUGAUCGUUGUGGUGGAUUUAUGUGGGAUCUUUGAUUUGCUGGUGUUGGAGAUUUGUCUUACAAUUUGUAAGAUGUGUUGGGACGCUUUAAAAAUUUGUAUCUCGCAUCUUAAAUUUAGCACUAGGAAAGUAGUGAACCCACGACUUGCUGAAGUGAUUUAUAUCGGAGCCACGUAUCGAAGAAACGUAAAAUAAUUGACAAAGAUCAACCCAUCAUCAAAAAACACACACAAAAAAAAAAGACGAUAAAUUUUAUAAUUAUACGUUUAUAAAAAGGAUAUAACGAAUCGUAUCCUAUUUUGUCGAUCUCCUCUUCAAAAUUUACGAGACAAUUUUUUAACGAGCGUCACUCAGCACCAACAAUAUCAAAGCGGAAACCGACUAAUUUUAAAAAUUAUUCCAAAGCUACUUUUCUCGCCAGAAAAAAAUGCAACGUUCGCCGACCGAUUCCCCUUAAAUUUCGGGCCUCGAGAAAAAAUGCGUUAAUCUGCAGAAAAAUAAGCCCACAUGAGAGGAAGGAAUUACGGUAAUCGCGGUCUAAGAGGAAUUGCGAAAACGUUUCAAACGAUCUCAGCGUUGCCCUGUUGUGCAAAAAUUUCGUCAGCCGAUAUGCCCAUGUUUCGUGAUAAUUUCCAGACAUUACCAGGAAAACUCGUUACCAGCGCCAGACGGUUGUUUUAGACGAUCGGCCAAGAUUAAGUUACCGAAUUAAUUCUUGCUGGGGAUAUAUCAUUGAUCGAUCACGAUUACAAGAAUUGAUCAAGCUGAACGUAUAGAGGAAAAAGUUACUUGAGAAAUAAUACCCUUAAUUAAGUUCGAUAAUAACGCGAAGUCUUUGUCCGUCUUAUUAAACGUUAUUACUAUCCGAUAUUUUCGUUAUUCUUAUUUCCACACGAACUAGUUUUAUCUUUCGUAUUAUUCUCUCUUUUCAACAUUGUGCACGAGUUUCUUAAUUAAAUUUCACUUAAAAGAUUAAAAGAAACAGGAGACCACUAAUAUUGGAUAUUUGAUUGUUUCGUAAGGCAGAUUAAUUCUCGUAGAUAGCGAGCAACGUUAACAUCACUGCUGUGUUAAACAAAGAUACGCCACGUGACCAAUCAAAGGCAACGUCGCAUCAUGCCACGCGACGUGCCUCUAAUGUAGCAAUAAAUAGCGUGACGUCAUAGCUGUAUUAGGUAAGGGUAUGUCACAUGACUAAACUCUACCAAUGGUAAGCAUCGCAUGCGUCACGUGACGCCUCUGCCUAACGCAGCAGUGGCAAUGGGGAUCAUGUAUUCUUCUUCUAUUAAAAAUCGAGUUACUUUUUCUUUUAAGAUUCUCUACUACUAAAAUUCUUUAGCUAAUUCUCUUCAUCAAAAAAAAAAAUAUCUUAAUGUCUAAUUCGAGGAAGUGAAUCGAAAUAUCAACGAGUUAUCCACUCUUUCACGAAUUAUUCUUGAUCGUACUCGGAACGUAAUCGAUCCCAUCUCCACCUUCGAUAAUAAGCUGUGAAAAAGAUGCGCGAAGAGGAUCGUGUGUCUUUAAUCGCGAUAGAUUUCACGCGGCUUGUCUCGAUUUAUCCGUACCGAUCCGCCGUUACGAGUAAAUGCGAAUCUAUUUACUCGUCAUGCAGAUGACCGGUAGCCGGUCUCUUUCGUUUCCUUCCCUCCUCGUCCUAACACUUCUCCCUUCCUCUCCUCCCCUUGGUUGCCAAGUUUCAUUACGGCGAUAAAUUGCUGCCGAUGAGGCUUAAAAGUAGGAGGGAGAGGCUUGUGAACGAAUCGAACCGAUUUGUCGUUUCACGCGUGCUUUCUACUUAACGGACGGAAGAUUUAUUUAUUUAUUUAUUUAUUUUUUUUUUUUUUGCUUCGUGGAAUAUGAUCCUUUGGACAGAGGUAUUGGAUUCGAGAGUAUCCAUCCUUUUCGAAAAAUUUCCUUUACUUUAGAGAUGUUAAUUUUUCAAAUUUACUUCGCGCAAAGAGGGGAGAUCGAUCGUGAAGAUAGAUUCGAUAAAUCGGGACAUGUUUCUCAUACGAUACGAUGAUUGUCGAUUAUUGACGAGAAGACAAUUGAACACGAUCGUGGUCGAACUAACAAAACCGAUAAUCGGACCUCCACCAUUGAUCGCGAGCUUCGUAGAACCAGUUGCUAUCUCCGUAAUGGCGUUUAGCCAUCGUUAAACAGGCGAAACAGGGAUAAGCCUGCGGAGCCAUUUGUAAAGUCAACCGCAAUUUCUCCGGCGUUGAUUACACGUCGUUAGGCCGGGUGAAAUCAAGUUAACGUAUCGAGUACGGUGUACGCUGGGAACCCGAUAUCAAUUUCUCCUCGGUUAAAUGGCAAUCGAUUCGCGAACGAACGAUUCGAGAAACGGAAACUGGACUCUCGACUGGAAACGAAGAUAUAACUGGAAAAGGCAGAGGCAAGGAGCACCGGGAUCGUUCGUUUUCGUAAAAUCUCUUCAACGAUAGGCGAUCCUUGUUAUCGAUCCGUGGAAAUACUAAUCGAGGCUAGCGCGACUUCGAAAGUGAUUCGUCACUCUCAUUCUCUCGUUCGUCCAAUUAACUUUAUCGCCGCUCGCGGUUACCACGGCGACGGUAGUGGGAGGAGGGGGAAGUAGCGAGCGAGGCAACGGAAAGGUAUGAAAAUAGCAGUGCUCGCGCUGCUCGAACACCGCCAUUAGACGAGUAAACUUUAGACAGAAUCGAAAAAGCAAGUUGUUGUUAUUCCGGUCGUUUCGCUUUCCACCGCCAUCCUCGCUACAAUGCCCGCGACUAUUUUCUACUCUGCAAUUGCCGGCAAGUACGGGGUCAGCAUUCUAGCUUCUCUACCGGGCCUAUUACGUUUUCCCUUUGCUCGCAACCGAUCGUGAGGAAACUGGUGAUCACCGCGCUUAUAUACCGACGAUCCAACGAAAAAAGGAUAAUCCGGGGGGGGGAGUAAAAGAAGGAGAAGGGGGAAAGCGAUCGAAAGCGAUCCUCGCUGCGGUGUGUGACCAGAAUGCUCGAUUAUCGAAUCUCCGAUAGGGGCGGUGAGCAUCGAGGAUACGAGUUUCCUCGAGACGAGGCCGUAAUCUCUAUUAAUUACCGGCGGCGGCGGCGCGCGCGCGCAUAAAUCAAUCGGGAAACGGAGAUAAAGGUGGCAACACGGGCCGAGAACUGGAGGAGGAAGGAAGAAAAACAGGUCCCGGAUGGUGGAGGGGCGAAACUGGCCGCGUUUUCGUGAGUCAUACUCUCCUCGUUAGAAGCUUGCUCCGACGCGCGCAACCCCCCUCGUUCUCUCCUUUCCUUUGUCUCGAGAAUUAACAACGAGAAAUAAUACAAGGGAACCUCGUGCUUAUCCACAAUUUCGUCAUUUUUCCUUCGUGCACCGACAUUCCUUCUCUUUCUGAUUAUCGUAUUAAUUAAUCGACGGAUGUUUCGUGAAUUUGGAGAAGUACUUCGCACCGUAUCGAUCGAUACAUAUCAUAAAAAAUUAUCACGUUUACGUGUUAACGCCACGUCUUCGCUAUAUAAUUCGUAUUAAUUAAUCGAUGUUUCGUGAAAUUUCGAGUAGCGCCUCGUAUCGAUCGGUGUACAUUGUAAGGAUAAACCCUUGCUCUUUACGGCCUAUUAUCGCGCAAUUAUCACAAUUGAACACCGUCUUAACGCCAACUUCGCUAUGCUCGAUCAUCGAUCGCGACUUUAUUCCCAUAGAUCCGCGUUGCGCGCGCACCGAAACGCUCCUUGGCAUCCUUGUUCAAUAGCGCUGAACCACUGAUUUUAAAUGGCCGCGCUCACUCCCGGCUAUUUAUCAUCGUUAUCAUCGAUUUUUUUUCCCGAUCCCUUUUUUCCCCCCUCCUUCAACCGGUUGCAAGGUAUCGCGUUUCACGGGUAGGAAGGCCGAAAUAUCAGCGCGUUUCCUCCUUUCUUUUUUUCUCUUUUUCCACUCCUUCCCUUCCAUCGACAAAUUACCCCUCGUUUCUUCGGCGCACCGGAUAAACAUAUCAGCGUCGGCAGGUAGCCAAGUUGGAAUAGAAAAUUCGAUUCUUUUCAACGCUCUCGGUUAAUUUAGUCCCUUCUUUUCUUCCCCCUUUUUUCUUAAAAACGCAAAUGCGCUUAAAAGUAGAGUAGAGGGAGGGAGGAGAGAAAAAGAGUGGCAGCAAUUGCAAGGCCUCGAUUUCAUCAUCGCGCUCGACAUAAAUCUGGUGGUCAUAAACGCGGCUUAUUAUUUUCGCAUUACAAACUGCGCAAAAUGGCGGAAACCGGGGCUCCUUAAGAGCGUUGAGACAUUGGGAGGCCGACGUUUCUCCGAACUCGUUCGAAUUAUUGCGUCGAUAUAAUAAUAGCCGAGCCACCGAGCUACACGCACGCACACACACACACAGCCGAGCGACACACGCACGCGCGCGUAUGGAAACCCGUUUAUUACGCAAAUUUUUAUAUUAUUUUUCUGUGUAAGCCCGAGAUAAAAUAAACUUUCAAUUAAUGACACGUGAUAACGUAUUUCGUAUUAUAUCUGACGGGGAUCAUUGGUAUGACAGACAGUUACAUUGCGCGACAAUCUGAUAAGAAAGGCUGGAAAUCGUAAGAAAACGAUUUUUAAUGAUUUUAUUCAUCGAGCAUGAAACCUGGCCCUUUUUAUCGCCUGCGCCAGAACACUUUCAGUUAAGAUACGAUCUGCUUUUUAAAAUUUAUUAGAACCGCGCUCCUAUCCAUAUCGAACGCAGAAGGCAUUCUUACGAUGUUUUCAACGGUCGCGCUCAACCGUUCGCAAGUAUAGGGCAAGUAUAUUAAUUGCGAUUCAUUCGUACGGCGGAUUUAUUCGUUACAUCUCGAAAAUCUUGUCCGUGCAAUUACAAGUUUGUAUCGUCACCCAAUUCCUGUGUAAACUACUCUUUUUUUAAUUUUUUUUCUUUUCAGAAAAUCCACGUAUCUAUAUACUAUUUUCAUAAUGUAAAGAAAGUUAUUCUAUCGUAAUCAAGAUAUCCUUUUCUAUCUUUCCAAUAAGAAAGAAAAAUUUUUAAUUUUUCCCUAUUUUUUCCUACAUAUUUUCAUACAAGGGAUGUAAAGAAAAUUAUUCGAUCAAUUAAAGAUAUUCUUUUCUUUCAAGAAAGAAGAAGUAUAUUUUGUUAAUUUUUUCCUAUUUUUUUAUACACAAUUUCAUAGGAAUAAUGAAGAAAAUUCGAUUAUUGUCACGAUCAAAGUAUCCUUUUCUUCCAGAAGAGAAAAAAAAAAAAAAAAGAAAAAAAAUCGUUAAUUUUUCAGAUUUUACACUAUUCUUUUAUUUUCGUAGGAAUAAUACAAAGAAAGUUAUUCGAUCAUUAACAUAAUCAAGACAUCCUUUUCUUCCAAGAAAAAGAAAAAAAAAAAAAAUGAAUCCUGUUAGUUUUCAGAUUUUUCACUAUUCUUUUAUUUUCGUACGAAAAGAUAAUAUAAAGAAAUCGAUCAUUAACAUAAUCAAGACAUCCUUUUCUUCUAAAAAAGAAAAAAAAAAAAGAAAAAGAAUCCCGUUAAUUUUUCAGAUUUUCCACUAUUCUUUUAUUUUCGUAAAGGAAUAAUACAAAGAAAGUUAUUCGAUCGCUAACAUAAUCAAGACAUCCUUUUCUUCCAAGAAAAAGAAAAAGAAAAACGAAUCCCGUUAAUUUUUCAGACAUAUACUACUUUCUCUACCGAUCCACCCUUCGCAAAGUAGGAUCGAAGAACCGUUAGCACGGAUUACACCACGACUUUCCGCAUCCUAUUUUGCAACAAGUUCGAUAUUUCAAGAUUAUCUACCUCGUGUCUCGAAAUUACAGUGUCCAAAGCCUCCUCGAAGCCAUGCCGUGGCCGCGAUCACUCGGAGAAAACUGGUCGCCUAGCGAUAUAUAUUUUAAUAAUACCCCGCGCGAGAGGAGAUCGCGUUAGCCCUGAAGAUAGGUGGGAAGGUAUCGAUACGAAACAGCCGAGAAAUCGAUGGAGAUCUUGUUUCUCGGCUGCGAAAGGGAAUCGUAAUAAUGAUUGGCCGCGAGAGAAAUCAUAAGCUCGAACUCGAUCGGUGGUGGGCUUCUAAGCCGCUUAAGAGGACGAUGUCCUUCUCUUCGAUCUCGUGACAAAACCACGUUUGGGAUUACCCUCCAACUCGCGUCGAGAAAUUCUUUACGCGUGUAACGUCACCGAUCCUUCCAAUUUUUCUUUCUCAUUGCUCCCUUUUUUUCAGGAUGCGAGAGUACAGUUUGUUGAAAAAGAGCGAAAUUUGGGUUCCAAAAAUGAGAAAUUAAUAAACUUUUCUGAAAAUUAUCGAGUUGAAGUGUCCGGGAAGAUUGGAAUUUUAUCACAGUUCCUUCCUUAAAUUUCUAUAUUUUUUACCAUCUUCAACUUUAAAAUUUCCCCGAUUUUUCGAAUCCUUAAUUCAACAUUAAAAGUUCUAAUUUAUCCGAUCUAUCACCGAUCCAUCCAUAUGGAAAAGAGGAGGAAAAACGUGGAGAAACGAGAGAUGGAUGGAUAAGUUUCACGGGUGGAGGCUCGGUGUGCAAUCAGUCGGCCAAGGUUGGCCCGUGGUCAGCUGUUCGAGCGAGAAGACUGGUGGAUGUAUGCGGCAAGAGGGGGAGAGAGAGAGGAGAUAGAAAAAAAGGAGGAAGAAACGGCGGAUGGCGGAGGCAGGGAGAGGAAAAAAGGGACCCACCGGUCGUCGAGGUUGCACCUGCCACGUCGUGGCGCGGCCGUACAAGGCCGACGAUCCCGAAGAAACUCGAGGCGGAGGAGCGACGAGCAACGCUCGAGUCUCUCGCCUUAAGCGGCGUCUCUCCCUCGAAAUCACGAUCGAUCGAUCGAUCUUGAGAUUCCCCUGGAAUCGCGGCGCGCAGACCCGCGAAGCCGAUGUCAGCGCGAUCGACAUUGAAUUUCAUACAACGAGCUGCCACCGGGAACUCUUCCCUUUUUCCACUCCGCGCCUCUUAUUUCCCUUUUUUCUUUUUCCUUUCACCGAGCGAAGAAAGGAUUCCUUUCGACGAAUUCGAACGGAGGAAGGGAUUCUUCGAUUAAUAAGCGGAGAAUUCGAAUUCUUUUUUUCUUUUUUUUUCUUUUAAUUGUCGAAUUUAGAGAUUGAAAGCUGUAUUUAACGCGAGUUAAUUCGCGAUAGGUUAAUUAAUUUUCAUGAAAUUUCGUUGUACGCGUGUUGAAGUAAUAGUUGAUUACAUUUUUUUCCUCUUAAUACGAUCGAAUGUUUCUUAACAUGUUGAUUAAAUUUCCAGUUCAUAAGUGAAUUAAUUCAGUGAAAUUAAAGCAUCGAAGUCGAACAAUAAACAGAUCUUUGAAUUAUUGAAGUCAUUUUAAAAUAUGAUGUAAUUAAUUUCUGAAUCUAUAUAUAUGUAUCUCGAGAGAGAUAAAUGUCCAACAUAGAACCUCAUUAACGAUAUUAUUUCCUUCUUUUAUAUCAAUACUUAAUUUAGUAUUCUUUUAUUUGAAAUUAAGUUUGAAAUUUGUUAGCUUGAAAAAUUUUCAAAUUCAUCUCUUAGUAUAUUUGUUAAUUUUGAUUUAGAUCCUAACUAACUUUUAUAUUUUAUGUUGGAAAAUUAUUCUAAAAAAAAAUACUGUGAAUAAUUGCAUUCUUGAGUUGAAAAAGGAAUUGGAAGAUUGUUCGACACGAGUUAAGAAUCGCAGUGGUAAAACUCGCGAGAUGGAGGACAAAGAAAAAAAAAUUAUUGCGAAAGAACGUAUUUCUCAUCUCUGAAAUUUCCAAUUCCCUUGAUUCAUCGUAAAACGUUUCGCGCCACUUAAUUUCCGCACCGAUAACUGAUCUCCGUUGGUAUUCGCACGGUUCGCGAGAAUAGAUCGAGAGAGAGAGAGAGAGAGAGAGGGGGGGAAAUUGGAAUCACGAUCGAUCGAUCGAAACGUGAUUUUACGCGCGUGCGUACCAACUUAUGCUUUACGCGAUGCAAUACGUUGCUAAUUAACGCGGAAUUAAUUAAAAACGAAUAACAAGGCCAAAGAUCGGCUCCAAGCUCCGAGAUUAUGCGAGAUUAUUGUGAAAUAUUCCAAGGUCGAUGUAAACGAGAUGAAGAAAAAGAAAGAAUUCGUGGAGAAAUAAAAAAUUUCGUUUUAUAUGUUGUGUUUCUUGAUAUAUUUCGAAAAAAUCGAUUAUGCGAAGGAUUUGUAGUUCAAUCAGUUCAAUUCACAUUCUUUGAAAAUAUUGACGAAAAUUUUCCAAUACGAAUGAAUUAAUUAUAAAUCGAAAUAUUCUUACACGUUUUUCUAUCUAACUGAUCGAAUAAUAAUCGAAUAAUAAUUAUCGAGGAAUUUUGUGCAAAUACUCGACGCGUAUUGAGUAAGAUUUGUUUAAAACAGGUAAAUGAGUCAUUACUUGUACGCGGAAUAACAUUUUCGAGUCGACAGUGGAAAAAGAUAUUUAAUUAUAACUGAUGUAAUUUAAUAACGUGAAUCGAAAUAAUUGCAAAAACCUCCGUUUUUUUUCUAACUACACGAGUAUUAAUGCAAAAUAUAAAAACAUAUCUACAAAUAACUUUCAUUAACAGACACUGGUUCUUUAAUGCAAUUACAAAAAAAAAAAAAAAAUACAAAGAAUGUGGAUAUAAAGUAAGGAUAUAAUAAGCGAGCAAAAUAUCCAUAUAUCGAACACACGUAUAAAAACUAUAUCUGAUGCAAUGAUCUUUCGAAUACACGGUUAAUAGCAUAAAGAUAAAAGAAGUCAAUUUUCACGUACCGAAAAGAAAAAUGGGAGAAAAAACUCGAGGCGAAGUUCCACGAGAGCAAGCAAGCAGCUUCGCGCUAGCAGCAUUCGAUCUCCAUGAUCCGGGCAAAGACACGAGAAGUCCGUCGCUGAAAAACGUCAGAUCCCAUCAGCUAUGCGGCUAGUACGGCUCAUCAGCAAGGCGGAACGAUCGCGAGAGAUCGCGAUCGAAGCGAGUCACGCCGCGAUUCGUCGUCGUCGUCGUCGUCGUCGUCUUCGUCUUCGUUCUCGUCGUCCUCAUUUUCCUCGUCAUUCUCGUCAUCGUCGUCGUUCCCAAGCGGAGCGGAGAGAAACGCGCUCGUGCACGCUUAGCAGCAGCCGACCGAGAUCCCAGAGAUCGGAGAUCGUGUUCGCUUUGCGAUGCCGCCGACUCGUUACCAGAUCGUUCUCGCAUCUCCUUCUCAUCUCGCCACGCAUGCGCUUCUGCCGACCAUCUCUCCAUGCUUGUACUAUAUACCGCGUGGAAAUGGCGAGAGAUUGGCGGAUUUUAGCAAAGUGUUCAUGGUUGACUGGAUCUUGUCGAGGAUACGCGGAUGAUUAUUCGUCGAGAAAAAUGUCGGGAUAACUCGCGAACGUAUGAAAAAGAGAAGAAGUUUGGUUAUGUGCAAGAUGACCGAUCACUUUGGACGAGGUUUAAUAAACGGGUAUAUGCAAAAAGAUUUAUGCGAAUCGUGAGCAACAGUUUUGAGGAUAAAUUGAAGAAAUAAGUCUCGACAGAGGUUGAUUUGACGAGAAAACGAGUAUUGGAAAGGGAUUCGAGAGAAUCGAUGUGUGUUUAUGCGUCGGUAAAGGAUGAGACAAGAGUAUCGAUGAAUGUUCGUGAAUUUUGUGAUCGUGCUGAAUGUGCAAAUUCUCCUUCUCUGCGAGAAAUGAGAUUGAAGAUAUAUACAAGAAUCGAAGGUAAUUAUAUAGAAACGUUCGUUACAUGUGAAUAGCACUUAUAAACAAAAUGUCAAAAGCAAAUGUAAAUAUGCUGAUGUGCUUUUGUGCAGAAAUUGUAAGAAAUUGGAAAACAAAUUUUCUUUAUUAUAUUAUUCCAGUUGCACUUUCGAGUUAACGAAUUCGAAUGAACAUAAUCUUCGAAUUCCUUUUAUUUAUCGCUUAACCUAACCUAACCUAAUUUAACCAAAUCAAAACCCAAAAUUUCCGCACGAAAAUAUACGUAUUAUUGAAUUCCUCUUACAAGAUCUAUCUACUUUAGAUAAAAUGAAACGAAACCUUCAAAAAAAUCAAUGGACAAAGAUGUAGUGAACAAAUUGCGAAUCGAAACUCGAAAAAGAAUAAUUCGCGACGAACGUUCAUUUCGAUUCGCCGUAAACAUUUAGCGAAGCAAUUCCAAUUUCACGGUAUAAAUCUCGACCGUAGCUGUGAAUUGUCUUGUGAAUUUUCUCUAAAUUCGAGCGUUUCCGCGUGGAAUUGGGAGGUCAAACGCACUAUUGUAAAUCGGCUUCGUUGGAAAAAUGAUGGUGAAGGUGAUUUACCACCUUAAUACAUUCGGGCAUAAUUCGUUCCGUGGACAGUAGUAACUAGGCAGGUCGGUAACGGUUUACGCGAAAAGGAGUUAUCCCCGCGAUAAUCGUGAGCGCGGUUGGUGAAAAAUCGUUUUGCGGAGGCCGCGCGUAAUAUUUUCGUCUGCCCGUUCGACGAAGGAGGGACGAAGCUAUGCGGCGAAUUCGAAAAAGCGCCGUGAACACGGUGGCGAGUAUUAAAUGCCUUAUCGCGCUCAAAGUCCCGCGGCAAGCCUUAAUAUUCAAGCGUAUCUGGCUUGAUCCUAGCAGCCGUGUCGGCAGAUCGCGUUACACCGAACCUGUCUCGCUAAUUUACCGCCGGUAUUCCUGACUUUCUGUUUUUCUAUGGAGCGUUUCGUGUGAAUUUCGUUGAAUUGUGAUCGAAAAUUUAAGAGUCUCUAAUGCGGAACGAGAUAAAACUAUGCUGCGAGUUUCUGUUUCUUUACUAUUUCUAUAUAUUAAUGACGUAGAAUUGGUUGCGAACGUGCGAGUUUCGGUCGGUUAGUCAAAUUUUGAUAUUCGUGCAAAUUUUUUGUUUUCUAUAAUUUGAUUUCAUGUUCUAUUGUAAACUUUUCCCAAGAAUAUUUUUGAUGUUAAAAUUUUCGUCAAUUUCGAAGUGUUAUAUAAUAUGCAUAUCAACUAUAUCUUUUAAACAGUAAAUUUGUCAUCGAAUAAUACUAAUGUUUGACUAUUGUAUUUAUUAUGUAGUUACGCAGUUUAUAGAUUAGAAAUAUAAAAUCGUGCGAUAAAACAUAUUGCCUAUAUGUUGGAAUUAAAUGUUAACUAUCGUACAACUAUUAUUGAUAAAUUUAACAUUAGUAGAUUUUAAAAGAAUCUUAUCUUAUAAUAAAUAGGUUAAUAAAUUAAACCCGAAGAAAUAGUAUAUUCGUAUCUACUGU
Apis cerana (Asiatic honeybee) is the source of this 11592-nucleotide long non-coding RNA. RefSeq lists it as uncharacterized. The record is from RefSeq and is a predicted model, not a curated record. Lineage: Eukaryota; Metazoa; Arthropoda; Insecta; Hymenoptera; Apidae.